GAUUAAGUUAUUAAGGGCGCACGGUGGAUGCCUUGGCACUAGAAGCCGAUGAAGGACGUUACUAACGACGAUAUGCUUUGGGGAGCUGUAAGUAAGCUUUGAUCCAGAGAUUUCCGAAUGGGGAAACCCAGCAUGAGUUAUGUCAUGUUAUCGAUAUGUGAAUACAUAGCAUAUCAGAAGGCACACCCGGAGAACUGAAACAUCUUAGUACCCGGAGGAAGAGAAAGAAAAUUCGAUUCCCUUAGUAGCGGCGAGCGAAACGGGAAGAGCCCAAACCAACAAGCUUGCUUGUUGGGGUUGUAGGACACUCUAUACGGAGUUACAAAGGACGACAUUAGACGAAUCAUCUGGAAAGAUGAAUCAAAGAAGGUAAUAAUCCUGUAGUCGAAAAUGUUGUCUCUCUUGAGUGGAUCCUGAGUACGACGGAGCACGUGAAAUUCCGUCGGAAUCUGGGAGGACCAUCUCCUAAGGCUAAAUACUCUCUAGUGACCGAUAGUGAACCAGUACCGUGAGGGAAAGGUGAAAAGCACCCCGGAAGGGGAGUGAAAUAGAACCUGAAACCGUGUGCUUACAAGUAGUCAGAGCCCGUUAAUGGGUGAUGGCGUGCCUUUUGUAGAAUGAACCGGCGAGUUACGAUUUGAUGCAAGGUUAAGCAGUAAAUGUGGAGCCGUAGCGAAAGCGAGUCUGAAUAGGGCGUUUAGUAUUUGGUCGUAGACCCGAAACCAGGUGAUCUACCCUUGGUCAGGUUGAAGUUCAGGUAACACUGAAUGGAGGACCGAACCGACUUACGUUGAAAAGUGAGCGGAUGAACUGAGGGUAGCGGAGAAAUUCCAAUCGAACCUGGAGAUAGCUGGUUCUCUCCGAAAUAGCUUUAGGGCUAGCCUCAAGUGAUGAUUAUUGGAGGUAGAGCACUGUUUGGACGAGGGGCCCCUCUCGGGUUACCGAAUUCAGACAAACUCCGAAUGCCAAUUAAUUUAACUUGGGAGUCAGAACAUGGGUGAUAAGGUCCGUGUUCGAAAGGGAAACAGCCCAGACCACCAGCUAAGGUCCCAAAAUAUAUGUUAAGUGGAAAAGGAUGUGGCGUUGCCCAGACAACUAGGAUGUUGGCUUAGAAGCAGCCAUCAUUUAAAGAGUGCGUAAUAGCUCACUAGUCGAGUGACACUGCGCCGAAAAUGUACCGGGGCUAAACAUAUUACCGAAGCUGUGGAUUGUCCUUUGGACAAUGGUAGGAGAGCGUUCUAAGGGCGUUGAAGCAUGAUCGUAAGGACAUGUGGAGCGCUUAGAAGUGAGAAUGCCGGUGUGAGUAGCGAAAGACGGGUGAGAAUCCCGUCCACCGAUUGACUAAGGUUUCCAGAGGAAGGCUCGUCCGCUCUGGGUUAGUCGGGUCCUAAGCUGAGGCCGACAGGCGUAGGCGAUGGAUAACAGGUUGAUAUUCCUGUACCACCUAUAAUCGUUUUAAUCGAUGGGGGGACGCAGUAGGAUAGGCGAAGCGUGCGAUUGGAUUGCACGUCUAAGCAGUAAGGCUGAGUAUUAGGCAAAUCCGGUACUCGUUAAGGCUGAGCUGUGAUGGGGAGAAGACAUUGUGUCUUCGAGUCGUUGAUUUCACACUGCCGAGAAAAGCCUCUAGAUAGAAAAUAGGUGCCCGUACCGCAAACCGACACAGGUAGUCAAGAUGAGAAUUCUAAGGUGAGCGAGCGAACUCUCGUUAAGGAACUCGGCAAAAUGACCCCGUAACUUCGGGAGAAGGGGUGCUCUUUAGGGUUAACGCCCAGAAGAGCCGCAGUGAAUAGGCCCAAGCGACUGUUUAUCAAAAACACAGGUCUCUGCUAAACCGUAAGGUGAUGUAUAGGGGCUGACGCCUGCCCGGUGCUGGAAGGUUAAGAGGAGUGGUUAGCUUCUGCGAAGCUACGAAUCGAAGCCCCAGUAAACGGCGGCCGUAACUAUAACGGUCCUAAGGUAGCGAAAUUCCUUGUCGGGUAAGUUCCGACCCGCACGAAAGGCGUAACGAUUUGGGCACUGUCUCAACGAGAGACUCGGUGAAAUCAUAGUACCUGUGAAGAUGCAGGUUACCCGCGACAGGACGGAAAGACCCCGUGGAGCUUUACUGUAGCCUGAUAUUGAAAUUCGGCACAGCUUGUACAGGAUAGGUAGGAGCCUUUGAAACGUGAGCGCUAGCUUACGUGGAGGCGCUGGUGGGAUACUACCCUAGCUGUGUUGGCUUUCUAACCCGCACCACUUAUCGUGGUGGGAGACAGUGUCAGGCGGGCAGUUUGACUGGGGCGGUCGCCUCCUAAAAGGUAACGGAGGCGCUCAAAGGUUCCCUCAGAAUGGUUGGAAAUCAUUCAUAGAGUGUAAAGGCAUAAGGGAGCUUGACUGCGAGACCUACAAGUCGAGCAGGGUCGAAAGACGGACUUAGUGAUCCGGUGGUUCCGCAUGGAAGGGCCAUCGCUCAACGGAUAAAAGCUACCCCGGGGAUAACAGGCUUAUCUCCCCCAAGAGUUCACAUCGACGGGGAGGUUUGGCACCUCGAUGUCGGCUCAUCGCAUCCUGGGGCUGUAGUCGGUCCCAAGGGUUGGGCUGUUCGCCCAUUAAAGCGGUACGCGAGCUGGGUUCAGAACGUCGUGAGACAGUUCGGUCCCUAUCCGUCGUGGGCGUAGGAAAUUUGAGAGGAGCUGUCCUUAGUACGAGAGGACCGGGAUGGACAUACCUCUGGUGUACCAGUUGUCGUGCCAACGGCAUAGCUGGGUAGCUAUGUGUGGACGGGAUAAGUGCUGAAAGCAUCUAAGCAUGAAGCCCCCCUCAAGAUGAGAUUUCCCAACUUCGGUUAUAAGAUCCUCAAAGAUGAUGAGGUUAAUAGGUUCGAGGUGGAAGCAUGGUGACAUGUGGAGCUGACGAAUACUAAUCGAUCGAAGACUUAAUCAA
This 2922-nucleotide ribosomal RNA is filed under the name Staphylococcus aureus. Its description in RNAcentral is "23S ribosomal RNA". It matches the Rfam family "Bacterial large subunit ribosomal RNA". Lineage: Bacteria; Bacillati; Bacillota; Bacilli; Caryophanales; Staphylococcaceae. The record is from RNAcentral.